Molecule: non-coding RNA, 209 nt
Filed under: Rhizobium sp.
Lineage: Bacteria; Pseudomonadati; Pseudomonadota; Alphaproteobacteria; Hyphomicrobiales; Rhizobiaceae
Also listed under: 1 other name
Source: RNAcentral
ACCAUAUCCAUGGCGUCAGGUGCCUGCGCAAGCGGGAGAAUCGGGAAUCCGGCGAACAUCCGGAACGUGCCCAACGCUGUGACGGGGACGAUCGUACCAGAGGGAAUGCGCAUGUGCCCGGCCCGUGCCACUGGACCCGCAGGGGGCCGGGAAGGCGGUGCGAUCGGUUGAUCCGCAGUCAGAAGACCGGCCUGACAUGAUAGACUGGA